This is a long non-coding RNA of Drosophila suzukii, 557 nucleotides long. RefSeq lists it as uncharacterized. The record is from RefSeq and is a predicted model, not a curated record. NCBI's taxonomy places the organism in Eukaryota, Metazoa, Arthropoda, Insecta, Diptera, Drosophilidae.
UAUUUUUAUUUUUCUCGUUCCUAGCUCGAAACGCAGCCAACUUCACUCACUUCACUUUUUUGGAAACGUGGAACAGAACGAACCGCUUCGCUCUAAGAAACUUAAAAAGAUGUGAACCAACAAUUAUGGGGUGCUGCGUUCAAUCGCUGGCAGAUGUGACUUGAAACAAAAUGGAGUUGAAAUUCAACACGUGCUUCCGGGCCAAAGAUUUUGAUCUUUAAUGAUCGGUUUUCCAGAGCUUUGGUCAAUUAUAAUAGCUGAAAUGGAGGCUUCUUGGUCCACUUAUUGAAAUGUCAUUAAAAGUAUGCUGGAUUUAAUCAUCCUAUGACAAACUUGGAAAAACAAAUUAAAAGAUGAGAGAAAGACGAACUGGAUUUCCUUACUCGAUGCCCAACUGAAGACCAAUCUACUAAAAAGGUUUUCCGAAUCGGAUGAUUCUUUAUAUGCCUGAUUUACUCAAAUUAAUAUCCACCAAGAUUUGGCUCCUUGGCAGAAGAACAAACAAAAACUUGUUAAGCCACACAUUGAAUAAAAAUCUCAUUUUGAAAUGUUAAAAA